This 361-nucleotide long non-coding RNA is filed under the name Mus pahari (shrew mouse). RNAcentral describes it as "lncRNA (MGP_PahariEiJ_G0002304.1)". Lineage: Eukaryota; Metazoa; Chordata; Mammalia; Rodentia; Muridae. The record is from RNAcentral.
AAGCUGCAGAGACGGGUGGCUCCCUGAGGAUUACUGAGCAGUAGACAGAGCCAAACUGGACAGCAAAUUACAGCAUCAGUUGCCACCACCCACCUCGGCAAUAAAAGCCCCAGAUUUAAAAUACAGGAAGCAGAUUUCAUCAAAGGAGUUCCUUACUGUGAAAGGGCACAAUUCGGUUCAUGUGAAAUGUGUUUGAUGAAAGGAUGGGAAAUAUGGGAAGGACACACAGACACACAGACGCACAGACUGCUUCACCCACAAGGAGCACUCCCUGGGAUCACAAGCUGAGUAAUGUCUUCUCUUGUCUUCAGUUUGGGAAGUUUUUUUUUGGUGAGUAAUAUGUUUUUAAUUUCUUCAUAUU